GGCGCCAUCGUCUAGCGGCUAGGACGCCUCCUUCUCAAGGAGGAAACCGGAGUUCGAUUCUCCGUGGCGCUACCA
RNAcentral lists this transfer RNA (75 nucleotides) under Candidatus Peregrinibacteria bacterium CG_4_10_14_0_2_um_filter_38_24. Its description in RNAcentral is "tRNA-Glu". It matches the Rfam family "tRNA". From Rfam's summary of the family: Transfer RNA (tRNA) molecules are approximately 80 nucleotides in length. Their secondary structure includes four short double-helical elements and three loops (D, anti-codon, and T loops). Further hydrogen bonds mediate the characteristic L-shaped molecular structure. tRNAs have two regions of fundamental functional importance: the anti-codon, which is responsible for specific mRNA codon recognition, and the 3' end, to which the tRNAs corresponding amino acid is attached (by aminoacyl-tRNA synthetases). tRNAs cope with the degeneracy of the genetic code in two manners: having more than one tRNA (with a specific anti-codon) for a particular amino acid; and 'wobble' base-pairing, i.e. permitting non-standard base-pairing at the 3rd anti-codon position. Lineage: Bacteria; Candidatus Peregrinibacteriota. The record is from RNAcentral. RNAcentral also lists the same sequence under 1 other name.